UGGGGCUAUAGCCAAGCGGUAAGGCAACGGAUUUUGAUUCCGUCAUGCGAAGGUUCGAUCCCUUCUAGCCCAGCCA
This 76-nucleotide transfer RNA is filed under the name Peribacillus frigoritolerans. RNAcentral describes it as "[Brevibacterium] frigoritolerans tRNA-Gln". It matches the Rfam family "tRNA". From Rfam's summary of the family: Transfer RNA (tRNA) molecules are approximately 80 nucleotides in length. Their secondary structure includes four short double-helical elements and three loops (D, anti-codon, and T loops). Further hydrogen bonds mediate the characteristic L-shaped molecular structure. tRNAs have two regions of fundamental functional importance: the anti-codon, which is responsible for specific mRNA codon recognition, and the 3' end, to which the tRNAs corresponding amino acid is attached (by aminoacyl-tRNA synthetases). tRNAs cope with the degeneracy of the genetic code in two manners: having more than one tRNA (with a specific anti-codon) for a particular amino acid; and 'wobble' base-pairing, i.e. permitting non-standard base-pairing at the 3rd anti-codon position. The record is from RNAcentral. Lineage: Bacteria; Bacillati; Bacillota; Bacilli; Caryophanales; Bacillaceae.